This 2640-nucleotide long non-coding RNA is filed under the name Mytilus galloprovincialis (Mediterranean mussel). Lineage: Eukaryota; Metazoa; Mollusca; Bivalvia; Mytilida; Mytilidae. The record is from RNAcentral.
GUCGACUGUUAAUGCAUUUAUGAUCGAUAAUGAUAGAUUGUCGACGAUAAUUUCGUAAAUGCAUUUACAACCGUAAAGUAUACUUUACGCCGUACAUCUAUAAUGGUCGACCGAAAAUCUAUCAUUAUCCCCGAUAAAUUGUGAUUAUCUCAUUUAUGUAGUUCCCGCGUGCCAUAUACACACUAUGUGAUACAUACAUUGUACUAUACGAUGGUGUCGAAAGAAAAUAACCGUUCAAGAUGGAAACAUGAUUAACAUUAUUGAAAGGAAAAGAAAAUCUUGUCGUAAAAAGUAACUAGUUUUACAGUGUGUUGCUUUAGAAUUUAAUGGUCAUUGGUUUAAGAGAAAAUUUCUAAACCAGUUAAUUCAAAAUAUGUUUAAUUAAUAUCAGAAAUAGCGAAAUCAACAUCUGAUGGUUGAAACUAUUCCACGUGACGUCGAACAAAACUUCAUAUUCCCUUCUGAGUAUCAUAUUCCCCUCUGAACGUCGGGAUAACCUUGAACGACGUUACCCACAGUUAAUAUUUUAAACUUUUUUAUCACAUUUUUUUUAAAGAUAGUAAAGUAAUUUCGUUUUUAAAAACUAUUUCAGACCUAAAAACAGAAAUAAAAAAAUAAUAAUAAAAAUACAUAUAUAUUGUUUUAUCAAUUUAAAUUCAUUAAACAAAUUCAUGAUAUUACAUGUGUUUCUAAUAUAUAGUUUUAUUACUAUAAUCAUAGUCCGCAGAAAAUAAUAUUUGCAAAACUUGAAAAAGUUGAAAAAAGUAAAAUCACAAAAAUACUGAACUCUACGGAAAUUCAAAACGGAAAGUCACUAAUCGAAUGGCAUAAUCAAAAGCUCAUACAAAUCAAACGAGUGGAUACCAACUAUCAUAUUCCUGACUUGUUACAGGCAUUUUCUUACGUAGAAAAUGGUAGAUUGAAACUGAUUUUAUAGCUAGCUAAAUCUCUCAUUUUUAUGACAGUCUCAUCAAAAUCCAUUAUAUUGACAAUGAUUCGUGAACAAAACAAACAAACAUAAUAGUUAAAAAUGUCAAAUAUACAGCAGUCAAUAUUGUGUUAUAAUCUUAAUGACUAAAAAAAACCAAACAAACAUGUAACAAAGAAGCACAAAAUAGCAUAAAUUUGCCAAAGCACAGUCAAUGGCACAAUUACUGGAUAUAUAAGCACAGAACCACGCGACAUACAUACAUGUACGAGAAUAUCACAAACUAAAAUGGCAGGACGUACAAGUACCACACGCAUCUUUAUCACAACAAAAAGAUCAAAUAUUUAAUAAAGAAGCACAACAGGCAUAUAUCAAACCUAACAACCUCACCUAUCGCUUUCCCAUUUUUGAACUUUUGCAUUUUAUCUAUGUAUGCCAAAUCCACUCAUAAACCAUGUACACAGUCCUGUCAAACGUAUAUCAUAUGAUAAGGCAGUUACAAGCGGCAUUUCGAGGAAAUAUUGUACGACUGACGUUUGGAUAACUGGGUUGCUCAAAUCUAUGGCUAAAAUAAGUAAUAUUUUCUUGGUGGUAAAACGACUAAUAUAUUAUCCCGGGUUGUAUUACAGCCAAUUUCAUUGAGCGUGUAGAUAAAGGUAAUACCUUUGAUUAAAUUGAAGUCAUUAUAAGGUUAGGUAAACUACCCUCCUUUAAGAAUUGUCUAGUCCGACAGACAACCAAUCUAUCUGUCUGUAGGACUAGGCCACUUCGAAAGGAGGGUAGUAUACCUUACCUAACAAUGACUUCAUGGUUCAGCUUGCAAGCAAGUUUAUCAAAGAUAUGACCUUUAGCUACACACUCAUUGAAAACGCUGUAAUUCAAUGAAAUAGUUUUGGUCGCUGUUUGCGAUUAGUCUUUCAUUAACCUUCGUUUCAGUUUAUAUUAACGAAAAGGCCCAACUUUCGCUAGUACAGGAAUAAGUUCCAUUAUGACAGCUAUAACAUGAGUAGCAGGACAAGUCGCAAACUAAACUGACAUUUCGAGGACUUGUACUUUUAAUUUAGUGAAUGCACCUUACUGAAGGGACGGAAGCCUUUAAAGAAUCUACUUUUUAUGAACUCACGAACAAUGAGGCAAAUAUUUGAACUUUGGAUAGUUGUUAUUAUUACCUUACUGUUUUCAUACACUUUCUGCUAUAUCUACUUAUAAAAUUCAUUUUCGGUCUUUGAAUCAACGAAAAAGUCGGACAUUUUUCUUAUUCUAGCUUAAUAUUAGCCGCCGAGUCCAAAAAAGUUUUUUUGUUUGCGGAGGAGAUUUCUAAUAUUCUCUUUUAAAUCUUAUGGGUUAAAGUUAACUGAUUUUGUUCAUAAAAAAAAUUGACUCAAAAGAUUUUCUAGAAUGAUAAAUCUUAAUUUUUUUUUUAUUUACAGUCAGUUGCCAUUUGUAGCAAUAUUUUUCCAGUUUAUUGAAAGCAGAUUAUAAACCGUUUAGUGAUUUUGAUAAUAGAAUGAAAUUCAAAACAGUGUGGCUGUGGCCAUUGAUUGACACAUUAAAUUCAUCCAUUGACUGGGACAAUUUACGUGAACGUUUGUAUGUAACGACCACUGCUCACUAUGUACCUUUUAAAGACACUUAAACUAUGGGGUCACCAAAGGUUCUCAACACCUUAAUAAAGUAAUUCGAAAAAUUAAUCAGAAAUAACACGAUGUUUU